Molecule: ribosomal RNA, 253 nt
Filed under: uncultured bacterium
Lineage: Bacteria
Also listed under: 1 other name
Description: partial 16S ribosomal RNA
Rfam family: Bacterial small subunit ribosomal RNA
Source: RNAcentral
UACGGAGGGUGCGAGCGUUGUCCGGAAUCACUGGGCGUAAAGGGCGCGUAGGUGGCUUGGUAAGCGUGUGGUGAAAGCCUGGGGCUCAACCCCGGGUCGGCCAUGCGAACUGCCGAGCUUGAGCACUGUAGAGGCAGGCGGAAUUCCGGGUGUAGCGGUGGAAUGCGUAGAGAUCCGGAAGAACACCAGUGGCGAAGGCGGCCUGCUGGGCAGUUGCUGACACUGAGGCGCGACAGCGUGGGGAGCAAACAGG